GCAAUCUGAAUCUGCGAACGGCUCCGCAUACCAGUUGUAAACGAUAGCGAGCCAGGCCUAGGAUUGCCCGCCUUCGGGUGGUCUUUUCUAGGUCUGGAUACGGAUAACCUUGGUAAUUCUUAGGCUAAUACGAUAAGUUUACCACCUAGCGCUACCGGGCAACCGGGAACGUUAGGGGUCGUGCGAAGCUUCUGCUACGCUCGGUUGGGUGAUUCCGUACACGAUCAGACCGCUACACCAAACUCAGGUGGCUCAGCCAGUACCUUCGGGGAACGCUGGGCCAUUUGGGGGCGGCUCUCGCUCGUGCCUCUGACCUAUCAACUGCACAGCAGCUUAUAGGACAUGCUAUGGUUACUACGGGUACAGAGGAUAAGGGUUCGAUCCUGGAGAGUGGGCCUGAGAGAUU
Molecule: ribosomal RNA, 406 nt
Filed under: Physarum viride
Lineage: Eukaryota; Evosea; Eumycetozoa; Physariida; Physaraceae
Description: SSU rRNA
Rfam family: Eukaryotic small subunit ribosomal RNA
Source: RNAcentral